RNAcentral lists this long non-coding RNA (228 nucleotides) under Cicer arietinum (chickpea). RNAcentral's name for it is "long non-coding RNA (CARI_LNC000431)". The record is from RNAcentral. Lineage: Eukaryota; Viridiplantae; Streptophyta; Magnoliopsida; Fabales; Fabaceae.
ACGGCGCAUUCAUGCGUAAGCAGUUGCAGAGUCUGCAUUGGUGUUAGUAUAAAAAACCGCAGCGAUAACAAAACUGCUUUUCACUUUCCAAUUUCAAGACCCAAACAAUUCCCAACUCCUCCAAACUCUGCCGCCAAAAUCAUACACUCUCAACGCACCGUUUAAACACAGUCACUGUACUACUUCUCCUCCGUCUCCUUUACACCACCGUUCUUCCAUUUCUCGAAU